RNAcentral lists this ribosomal RNA (494 nucleotides) under uncultured Microbacterium sp. RNAcentral describes it as "partial 16S ribosomal RNA". The record is from RNAcentral. Lineage: Bacteria; Bacillati; Actinomycetota; Actinomycetes; Micrococcales; Microbacteriaceae.
CACGUAGUUAGCCGGCGCUUUUUCUGCAGGUACCGUCACUUUCGCUUCUUCCCUGCUAAAGGAGGUUUACAACCCGAAGGCCGUCAUCCCUCACGCGGCGUUGCUGCAUCAGGCUUCCGCCCAUUGUGCAAUAUUCCCCACUGCUGCCUCCCGUAGGAGUCUGGGCCGUGUCUCAGUCCCAGUGUGGCCGGUCACCCUCUCAGGCCGGCUACCCGUCGACGCCUUGGUGAGCCAUUACCCUCACCAACAAGCCUGAUAGGCCGCGAGCCCAUCCCCAACCGAAAUUCUUUCCAGACGCAGACCAUGCGGUCACGUCACAUAUCCAGUAUUAGACGCCGUUUCCAGCGCUUAUCCCAGAGUCAGGGGCAGGUUGCUCACGUGUUACUCACCCGUUCGCCACUGAUCCACAGAGCAAGCUCUGCCUUCACCGUUCGACUUGCAUGUGUUAAGCACGCCGCCAGCCGUUCAUCCUGACGCCAGGAUCCAAACUCUAC